AAUGCUCAUACACCCCCUAAACUUUGGACUAGUGGCCAAGACACCCCCUAAACUUUUUUAUUGGCCAAUUUACUCUCCAAACUAUACACUCCUGCCAAAUUAAUACUUCAGUUAGCUUCCCGUUAAAAAACUCAUGGAAUAGCAUGUGAGAAUCACGUGAAAUUUAAAAAUUGACUAAUUUACACAAAAGAAAGAAAAGAGAGAGGAGAGACCUAGUUUUGACCGGCGAAGAGGAGAGAGAAAGAGGCAGUAGAACCAGAGCCACCGUAAAGCGGUGCUAAGUUCUUCAUCAGACGGCUGUCUCGCCGUCCGUAGGCCGUAUCUUCAAGCCCUGAUGUCCUGUACAAGUAAUGCAUUAGGUCAGGAAGGAUCAUUUGCAAGUGUUGCAUUAUCAUCUCCUCAAGAGAGGAGAUCAAGUAUUGCAAGCUCCCGCCACAAAAAUUGAUGGUGCAAGAGAUCCUCAACUCAAAGAAGUGUUGCAAGUGGAGAGAAUGGGUGGUCCACAACAUCAAGCAAUUUUUUUUAGUUUAGAAUCAUGUUUUUGAAACUUUGGCUAAGUGCUCUAAUGAUUGUUCAUAUGCCAAUUAGUUUGGCAAUGAUGUACUAGUGAUUUGUGUGAGAUGUAUUCAUGAGCAGAUUAUGAUCCUCAUUUUGUUAUUAAUAAAAAAAAAAUUCUGCACCUAUGUGCAAUUUAUACAAA
Long non-coding RNA from Quercus robur (English oak), 700 nucleotides. RefSeq lists it as uncharacterized. The transcript is spliced from 2 exons. Lineage: Eukaryota; Viridiplantae; Streptophyta; Magnoliopsida; Fagales; Fagaceae. The record is from RefSeq and is a predicted model, not a curated record.